AGUGUUAACGAAUUCGAUCCACAUCUUUCUUUGGUUUACAGUGACUUAUAUCCCAUCGACAGCGCAUUGUGGAGGACAAU
RNAcentral lists this transfer RNA (80 nucleotides) under Debaryomyces hansenii. The record is from RNAcentral. Lineage: Eukaryota; Fungi; Ascomycota; Pichiomycetes; Serinales; Debaryomycetaceae.